CCUACGGGGGGCAGCAGUGAGGAAUAUUGGUCAAUGGACGAGAGUCUGAACCAGCCAAGUAGCGUGAAGGAUGACUGCCCUAUGGGUUGUAAACUUCUUUUAUAUGGGAAUAAAAUGUUCCACGUGUGGGAUUUUGUAUGUACCAUAUGAAUAAGGAUCGGCUAACUCCGUGCCAGCAGCCGCGGUAAUACGGAGGACCCGAGCGUUAUCCGGAUUUAUUGGGUUUAAAGGGAGCGUAGGUGGAUUGUUAAGUCAGUUGUGAAAGUUUGCGGCUCAACCGUAAAAUUGCAGUUGAAACUGGCAGUCUUGAGUACAGUAGAGGUGGGCGGAAUUCGUGGUGUAGCGGUGAAAUGCUUAGAUAUCACGAAGAACUCCGAUUGCGAAGGCAGUUCACUGGACUGCAACUGACACUGAGGCUCGAAAGUGUGGGUAUCAAACAGGAUUAGAUACCCCAGUAGUC
This 460-nucleotide ribosomal RNA is filed under the name uncultured bacterium. RNAcentral's name for it is "partial 16S ribosomal RNA". It matches the Rfam family "Bacterial small subunit ribosomal RNA", at positions 338 to 795 of the family's 1533-position model. The record is from RNAcentral.